This 792-nucleotide ribosomal RNA is filed under the name uncultured delta proteobacterium. RNAcentral's name for it is "bacterial SSU rRNA". It matches the Rfam family "Bacterial small subunit ribosomal RNA", at positions 8 to 811 of the family's 1533-position model. Lineage: Bacteria; Deltaproteobacteria. The record is from RNAcentral.
AUAGUUUGAUGCUGGCUCAGAACGAACGCUGGCGGCGUGCCCAACACAUGCAAGUCGAACGAGAAAGUUCCUUCGGGGACUAGUAAAGUGGCGCAAGGGUGAGUAACACGUGAAUAAUCUGCCCUCGAAAUCGGGAUAACUUGGCGAAAGUUAAGCUAAUACCGGAUAAGACCACAUUUCCUAAGAAAUGCGGUAAAAGGAGUCUCAAACUCCAUUUGAGGAUGAGUUCGCGGACCAUUAGCUUGUUGGCGGGAUAACAGCCCACCAAGGCGACGAUGGUUAGCCGGCCUGAGAGGGUGAUCGGCCACACUGGAACUGAGACACGGUCCAGACUCCUACGGGAGGCAGCAGUGGGGAAUAUUGCGCAAUGGGCGAAAGCCUGACGCAGCAACGCCGCGUGAGGGAUGAAGGUCUUUGGAUUGUAAACCUCUGUCGAAUGGGAAGAAAAUUUGACGGUACCAUUAAAGGAAGCCCCGGCUAACUCCGUGCCAGCAGCCGCGGUAAUACGGAGGGGGCAAGCGUUGUUCGGAAUUAUUGGGCGUAAAGAGUAUGUAGGCGGUUAGAUAAGUCAGGUGUGUAAGCCCAGGGCUCAACCCUGGAAUUGCACUUGAAACUGUUUAACUUGAGUUCAGGAGAGGAAAGCGGAAUUCCCAGUGUAGCGGUGAAAUGCAUUGAUAUCGGGAAGAACAUCGGUGGCGAAGGCGGCUUUCUGGUCUGAUACUGACGCUGAGAUACGAAAGCUAGGGGAGCGAACGGGAUUAGAUACCCCGGUAGUCCUAGCUGUAAACGAUG